RNAcentral lists this ribosomal RNA (460 nucleotides) under uncultured bacterium. Its description in RNAcentral is "partial 16S ribosomal RNA". It matches the Rfam family "Bacterial small subunit ribosomal RNA", at positions 338 to 795 of the family's 1533-position model. The record is from RNAcentral.
CCUACGGGUGGCAGCAGUGAGGAUUAUUGGUCAAUGGACGCAAGUCUGAACCAGCCAUGCCGCGUGCAGGAAGACGGCUCUAUGAGGUGUAAACUGCUUUUGUACGAGGGUAAACGCAGAUACGCGUAUCUGUCUGAAAGUAGCGUAAGAAUAAGGAUCGGCUAACUCCGUGCCAGCAGCCGCGGUAAUAAGGAUGAGUCAAGCGUUAUCCGGAUUUAUUGGGUUUAAAGGGUGCGUAGGCGGUCGGAUAAGUUAGAGGUGAACACCCGAGGCUCAACUUCGGAAUUGCCUCUGAUACUGUUCGGCUAGAGAGUAGUUGCGGUAGGCGGAAUGUAUGGUGUAGCGGUGAAUUGCUUAGAGAUCAUACAGAACACCGAUUGCGAAGGCAGCUUACCAAGCUACUUCUGACGUUGAGGCACGAAAUCGUGGGGAGCAAACAGGAUUAGAUACCCGGGUAGUC